GGUAAGGCCACAAAGCCUAU
This 20-nucleotide small nuclear RNA is filed under the name Arabidopsis thaliana (thale cress). RNAcentral's name for it is "snRNA_15707". The record is from RNAcentral. Lineage: Eukaryota; Viridiplantae; Streptophyta; Magnoliopsida; Brassicales; Brassicaceae.